GGGCCCUUAGCUCAUUUGGUAGAGCGCUGCCUUUGCAAGGCAGAGGUGACCGGUUCGAGCCCGGUAGGGUCCA
Bdellovibrionales bacterium GWA1_52_35 is the source of this 73-nucleotide non-coding RNA. NCBI's taxonomy places the organism in Bacteria, Pseudomonadati, Bdellovibrionota, Bdellovibrionia, Bdellovibrionales. The record is from Rfam.